This 107-nucleotide small RNA is filed under the name Marmota monax (woodchuck). Lineage: Eukaryota; Metazoa; Chordata; Mammalia; Rodentia; Sciuridae. The record is from RNAcentral.
UCCGGGUGUGGUGGCACAUGCCUGUAAUCCCAGCAGCUCAGGAGGCUGAGGCAGGAGGAUUGCAAGUUCAAAGCCAACCUAAGCAACUCAGUGAGAACCUGUCUCUA